UACGGAGGGGGCAAGCGUUGUUCGGAAUCAUUGGGCGUAAAGGGCGCGUAGGUGGUUCUGUAUGUCUACCGUGAAAGCAUACAGCUCAACUGUAUAUUGUCGGUAGAAACUGCAGGACUUGAGGCUGGGAGGGGCUGGUGGAAUUCCCUGUGUAGCGGUGAAAUGCGUAGAGAUGGGGGAGAACACUCGUGGCGAAGGCGGCCAGCUAGACCAGUUCUGACACUGAGGCGCGACAGCGUGGGGAGCAAACAGG
RNAcentral lists this ribosomal RNA (253 nucleotides) under uncultured bacterium. RNAcentral's name for it is "partial 16S ribosomal RNA". It matches the Rfam family "Bacterial small subunit ribosomal RNA", at positions 524 to 776 of the family's 1533-position model. The record is from RNAcentral.